This 507-nucleotide ribosomal RNA is filed under the name uncultured bacterium. RNAcentral describes it as "partial 16S ribosomal RNA". It matches the Rfam family "Bacterial small subunit ribosomal RNA", at positions 28 to 507 of the family's 1533-position model. The record is from RNAcentral.
GACGAACGCUGGCGGCGUGCCUAAUACAUGCAAGUCGAACGCAUUUUCUUUCACCGUAGCUUGCUACACCGAAAGAAAAUGAGUGGCGAACGGGUGAGUAACACGUGGGUAACCUGCCCAUCAGCGGGGGAUAACACUUGGAAACAGGUGCUAAUACCGCAUAAUUCCAUUUACCGCAUGGUAGAUGGGUGAAAGGCGCUUUUGCGUCACUGAUGGAUGGACCCGCGGUGCAUUAGCUAGUUGGUGGGGUAACGGCCUACCAAGGCUGCGAUGCAUAGCCGACCUGAGAGGGUGAUCGGCCACACUGGGACUGAGACACGGCCCAGACUCCUACGGGAGGCAGCAGUAGGGAAUCUUCGGCAAUGGACGCAAGUCUGACCGAGCAACGCCGCGUGAGUGAAGAAGGGUUUCGGAUUGUAAAACUCUGUUGUUAGAGAAGAACAAGGAUGAGAGUGGAAAGUUCAUCCCUUGACGGUAGCUAACCAGAAAGCCACGGCUAACUACGUG